ACACGUCAUGCACCAGACAGGCUACCGAAGCGAGCGAGGCCGGCUGCGUACGUGAAGUUCGUCUGUUCAGCGACCGGACUCGUUUGGAUGUCUUCUAUCGGCUGGGCUCCCGGCGUAUUGGGUUCCUUCUGCACUUCGACACGGCAGCGCUGCCCUAUUGGACAACGGCAAGGACUUUCCCGUGGCUCAUGGUUAGAACAGCAGGGGAACGAACAGCCGGGCCACGUUCCGCGUACGAAGAAACAAGUUACGAGCCAGACAAGGUGCAGGGAGUCGCCGGGAGCGUACGCAGCUGCGUGAUCGAGUGGGGCGCGGUGUCGAGCCAUGAUCUCGGGCAUCUACACCUCGUCGAGGGCGCUCUUACUCCGCAUCGCUGCUGUUACUUCUUGGAGGGAUUAAAUAUUUUGUGAAAAGUGCGCAAAAUAAACGGGUUGAA
This is a non-coding RNA of Dermacentor andersoni, 436 nucleotides long. NCBI's taxonomy places the organism in Eukaryota, Metazoa, Arthropoda, Arachnida, Ixodida, Ixodidae. The record is from RefSeq and is a predicted model, not a curated record.